CAUUGCGUACUAUCAUAUACAUGCAGUCGAGCGGACAGAAGGGAGCUUGCUCCCGGAUGUUAGCGGCGGACGGGUGAGUAACACGUGGGUAACCUGCCUGUAAGACUGGGAUAACUCCGGGAAACCGGAGCUAAUACCGGAUAGUUCCUUGAACCGCAUGGUUCAAGGAUGAAAGACGGUUUCGGCUGUCACUUACAGAUGGACCCGCGGCGCAUUAGCUAGUUGGUGGGGUAAUGGCUCACCAAGGCGACGAUGCGUAGCCGACCUGAGAGGGUGAUCGGCCACACUGGGACUGAGACACGGCCCAGACUCCUACGGGAGGCAGCAGUAGGGAAUCUUCCGCAAUGGACGAAAGUCUGACGGAGCAACGCCGCGUGAGUGAUGAAGGUUUUCGGAUCGUAAAGCUCUGUUGUUAGGGAAGAACAAGUGCGAGAGUAACUGCUCGCACCUUGACGGUACCUAACCAGAAAGCCACGGCUAACUACGUGCCAGCAGCCGCGGUAAUACGUAGGUGGCAAGCGUUGUCCGGAAUUAUUGGGCGUAAAGGGCUCGCAGGCGGUUUCUUAAGUCUGAUGUGAAAGCCCCCGGCUCAACCGGGGAGGGUCAUUGGAAACUGGGAAACUUGAGUGCAGAAGAGGAGAGUGGAAUUCCACGUGUAGCGGUGAAAUGCGUAGAGAUGUGGAGGAACACCAGUGGCGAAGGCGACUCUCUGGUCUGUAACUGACGCUGAGGAGCGAAAGCGUGGGGAGCGAACAGGAUUAGAUACCCUGGUAGUCCACGCCGUAAACGAUGAGUGCUAAGUGUUAGGGGUUUCCGCCCCUUAGUGCUGCAGCUAACGCAUUAAGCACUCCGCCUGGGGAGUACGGUCGCAAGACUGAAACUCAAAGGAAUUUGACGGGGCCCGCACAAGCGGUGGAGCAUGUGGAUUUAAUUCGAAGCAACGCGAAGAACCUUUACCAGGUGUUGACAUCCUCUGACAACCUAGAGAUAGGGCUUUCCCUUCGGGGAACAGGAGUGAACAGGUGGUGCAUGGUUGUCGUCAUGCUCGUGUCGUGAGAUGUGGUUAAGUCCCCGCACCGAGCGCAACCCUUGAUCGUAAGUGGCAGCCAUCCAGUGGCACUCUAAGUGACUGACGUUGACAACCGGAAGGGAAG
This 1154-nucleotide ribosomal RNA is filed under the name Bacillus sp. (in: firmicutes). Its description in RNAcentral is "bacterial SSU rRNA". It matches the Rfam family "Bacterial small subunit ribosomal RNA", at positions 36 to 1177 of the family's 1533-position model. The record is from RNAcentral. Lineage: Bacteria; Bacillati; Bacillota; Bacilli; Caryophanales; Bacillaceae.